Molecule: unclassified non-coding RNA, 334 nt
Filed under: soil metagenome
Description: partial contains 5.8S ribosomal RNA, internal transcribed spacer 2, and large subunit ribosomal RNA
Rfam family: 5.8S ribosomal RNA (bases 1-120)
Source: RNAcentral
GAUGAAGAACGUAGCGAAAUGCGAUAAGUAAUGUGAAUUGCAGAAUUCAGUGAAUCAUCGAAUCUUUGAACGCACAUUGCGCCCGCCAGUAUUCUGGCGAGCAUGCCUGUUCGAGCGUCAUUUCAACCAUCAAGCCCCAGGCUUGUGUUGGAGCCCUGCGGCUGCCGCAGCCUCGCAAAACCAGUGGCGGGCUCGCUAUCACACCGAGUGCAGUAGUUUACUCUUCGCUCAGGGCGUGUGGCGGGUGCUAGCCGUGAAACCCCCAACUUCUCAAGGUUGACCUCGGAUCAGGUAGGAAUACCCGCUGAACUUAAGCAUAUCAAUAAGCGGAGGA